This is a long non-coding RNA of Myripristis murdjan (pinecone soldierfish), 524 nucleotides long. RefSeq lists it as uncharacterized. NCBI's taxonomy places the organism in Eukaryota, Metazoa, Chordata, Actinopteri, Holocentriformes, Holocentridae. The record is from RefSeq and is a predicted model, not a curated record. The transcript has 3 exons.
GAUGAGCCAAUCAGCGGCCUUGUUGUUGGUCUGCCCGGAAACAGCGGCCGCCAUGUUGAGUUGUAGUUUGCGGUGGAAAGUGUCUGAGAGAGGAAGAGAAGUCCAUCUGCUGUGUGUUGUGGAAAUAAGUUUGCAGCCAUAAGUGCAGCCGUCCGUGCGUGUGCGCGUCCAGGAGCAUCUCCAGCUCCAGUCCGAGCUGCCAAGCCCUCAUCACAGAGAUCCAUGGACAACCAGUGAGUGAGUGCAGCUGAUGAAGCUGUGAUGAAGCUGUGAUGAAGCUGUGAUGAAGAUGUGGUGAAGCUGUGAUGAAGAUGUGAUGAAGCUGUGAUGAAGAGAUGUCUGGGCUGUUUGGAAGAGGCAGAGCAGAGUCUGAGGAGGAAACGUCACCAUCAGCAGAGGAGAACAAACGGCAUGAGAAGCUGCUGGACGCUGUUUUAGAAGCUGAAGAGCAGAUUGACCCAGCAGUGAUGCCUCAGCAGCUGCUGGUGUGUAAAGAAGAGGUUCCCCCUGAGCAGCAGGAGUGC